Long non-coding RNA from Rana temporaria (common frog), 272 nucleotides. RefSeq lists it as uncharacterized. The record is from RefSeq and is a predicted model, not a curated record. The transcript is spliced from 3 exons. Lineage: Eukaryota; Metazoa; Chordata; Amphibia; Anura; Ranidae.
GGCCAUUUUCUAUGCAGGCCUUACAGCUGUCACUAGCUGUGGCCAUCCUACUCGCAUUCCAGAUACCUACCUGUACUAUAAGGAUACACUACAAUUUUACUUUACCCAUGGUCGCUGUGCUGUCUGGGAGGGAUGCUUUAUGCGCUCUGCUGUUUGCCUGCUGGUCUGCCACCUCUGUCCCGGGACAGGCAUAUGUUUGGUCUUAACUGUAUUUACAUUACCACUUUGACAUACUAUAUAUCCCACUACAUCCGCCCCUGAUGAGUGUUUUU